ACCAGAUGCCUGUGUGUGUGUGUGUGUGUGUGUGUGUGUGUGUGUGCGCGCGCGCACGCGCUCAUGCACAGGCUUAGAAACCCUCA
This 86-nucleotide microRNA precursor is filed under the name Mustela putorius furo (domestic ferret). RNAcentral describes it as "miRNA (ENSMPUG00000023810.1)". Lineage: Eukaryota; Metazoa; Chordata; Mammalia; Carnivora; Mustelidae. The record is from RNAcentral.